AUACGUAGGUGGCAAGCGUUGUCCGGAUUUACUGGGUGUAAAGGGCGCGUAGGUGGGUAAAUAAGUCAGAUGUGAAAUGCCGGGGCUUAACUUCGGGGCUGCAUUUGAAACUGUUUAUCUUGAGUAUCGGAGAGGCAGGCGGAAUUCCUAGUGUAGCGGUGAAAUGCGUAGAGAUUAGGAAGAACACCAGUGGCGAAGGCGCUUCUCUGGACUGUAACUGACGCUGAGGCUCGAAAGCGUGGGGAGC
RNAcentral lists this ribosomal RNA (247 nucleotides) under uncultured bacterium. RNAcentral describes it as "partial 16S ribosomal RNA". It matches the Rfam family "Bacterial small subunit ribosomal RNA", at positions 523 to 769 of the family's 1533-position model. The record is from RNAcentral.